RNAcentral lists this long non-coding RNA (275 nucleotides) under Gossypium raimondii (Peruvian cotton). RNAcentral's name for it is "long non-coding RNA (GRAI_LNC001074)". Lineage: Eukaryota; Viridiplantae; Streptophyta; Magnoliopsida; Malvales; Malvaceae. The record is from RNAcentral.
AAUUCGAUCCUAAUUCAGUAGGGGAGUGUUACUCUCGAAAUAUUUGCCUAUAAAAUGGUCCAUUUGAACCAUUAUCGGAAAUUCACAACGAUUGACGGUAAUAUCUAACCUCGACGAAAUAGACAAAAUCUAGCAAAAAUAGAUAGAGAAUAAUGACAGAACUUACGCAAUAUCCUUGUAAUCAAAGCAACAAACCCACAGAACGCCUAAUUAAAUUAAGAAGAAAAAGAAACAAAAAGAAAAGAAGAACCAUAGAGAGGAAAUGGAAGAACGAG